RNAcentral lists this long non-coding RNA (414 nucleotides) under Mytilus galloprovincialis (Mediterranean mussel). Lineage: Eukaryota; Metazoa; Mollusca; Bivalvia; Mytilida; Mytilidae. The record is from RNAcentral.
GUCGCUUGUAACUGGUACGGCAUUAAUGAACUGUAAAAGCAUCAGCAUCACUUUAAAAGAUCUUGUUGAUAUGUCCAAUAUAAUUCACUUAUAUGGAUCGCAGUUAGGCAGUAAACUAAUUCAAUUUUAUAGUUCUAAGUUUGGGAUUGAUAUACUGUCAAAGUCCAUUCAUCUAGUAGGUCAAUUUAUAAAUUUCCAUAAAUGGUUAAAAUCAGUUGGAAUAUCAAUUUCACAAUAUAAUGAUGUAUCCACACUAUAUUGCAAUGUAAAUCCUGUAUAUGAUGUUUCAAAUAUAAAUACUCCUAGAAUUAUUCAUUUGUUUACAUUCCAUAUCAUGCACAUGUUGACGGUAAAAAUAGUUCAGGUAGUUGUUGGUUUAUACAAGGUCAACACAUCAACCUUAGAUGUUGAAUC